GCAGGCAGCCAUCUGCUGGUUGUAAUUUUGGGGCAAAAGAACAGAUAGCUACACUGUCCCCAAAAUAUCACACGCAUGGAAGGAUGUUGGAAAUUAAUGUUGGUAAAAAGAAAGUAUAUGAAAAUGUCUUUAUAAAUUAUAACAUGCUAUAUAAGUGGCAUUACAAUGAUCAAAGGUAAAGCAACACAUAUUGUAAGGUGGACACCGUGAUAAAAUGCUCAGACUGACUUAAACAGAAGUGGGAGGCUACCGUUUCACACAAGUCAGAUGUGCAGUUGAGUAUGGCCUGACCAAGAGAAGGAAUUGUGUCAGCAGGAUUCUCUUCUCCACAGUGCUGCUUCUAGCUUGGUUCCCCUGCCAGGUGUUUAUGGCAGCAUCUCCUGACUUCAACUCCCAGAAUCUCUGGGAUUCCCCAUCCUGGUUUCAAGAUGCUGCAGAGGAAGCCCACUGCAAGCUUCACGUCUUUGGAGCAGCAAAUUCAAUAAAGAGCGCAGGACCCUAUUUCCCAGAGCAUCAGCUAAGUCUUCAUGUCCUCUUGGCUUCACUUGGGUUAAAUUCCCAACCCUAACACAGUCAUGUGGCAAAGGAGAUGGGAAACGGUCAUUGGCUUGAGCCAAUGUGAACUCACUCUUGUCCCAUGAAGGAAGGCACUAGUCAUAUCUCUUUAUGCUCCAAAAUUUAGCCCAGUGCUCUCAAUAAAUGACUCUUUUUUAUGAUAUGAAAGAAAACCAGGAAGGGUUGGUUUGGUGGGAAGAUGAACUCAGAGCUUUGGUAGGGAAGGAGUGAGACCCCAAGGCUUAGGUUGGGGACAAUAGGUAGAUGCAAUCGAGAGCUCUCACUGCAAUAUUCUCUGGAAUCCUUGAAGUUCAGAAGUGGCCCACAUUGCCUAAUUGGAAGAUAGUGGGCCCUUCUUACUUGAAGACCAGAUAGUGAGACAGUGCCUUAUAAGACAACAUCUGUCUUCCUCAGGAUCUGCUCUACUUCCACUCCCAGCCACGAGAUUCAUAAUUAAGGUCAGAUGUCAGCACAACCUAAUGGGGAAAGCAGAGCCUGCUAAGGGAGAAGAGGGAUUCUACACCCAAGCAGCUCAGAACCUGGCUGAUGUGUACUGGCAAGAACUGGAAACCUCAUGUGGAUACUGGAAAGGUCACUGAGCUUGUGUGAAAGUGAUACAAAAGUUUGGAUGGCUUUGUGCCAUUAUGGGACAAAAUUCAAUACAGACAAAGCAUGAAGGGCAAAAAGUGAAUGGAUCACUUGUCGAACGAAAUCCAAUUUUCAGAUAUUCAUGAUGCUACAUCCUAUUCACACUUUUCUUUUCCAAUGCCUGUGUGAAAUCAUCACCUUCACAGAUUCACUUGUCCCAACAUGUAAGAGUUCCCAUUCCACAUUUGUGCUGGAGUCUUGUUUAUUAUGUUUGUGUGUGGUGUUAUUCUGGUUGUAGUAUGUAUGUUAUUAUUUCGUUAUUGCCUUUAUGCCUC
This is a long non-coding RNA of Gorilla gorilla gorilla (western lowland gorilla), 1478 nucleotides long. RefSeq lists it as uncharacterized. The record is from RefSeq and is a predicted model, not a curated record. The transcript has 3 exons. NCBI's taxonomy places the organism in Eukaryota, Metazoa, Chordata, Mammalia, Primates, Hominidae.